GGAUGAACGCUAGCUACAGGCUUAACACAUGCAAGUCGAGGGGCAGCAUGGUCUUAGCUUGCUAAGGCCGAUGGCGACCGGCGCACGGGUGAGUAACACGUAUCCAACCUGCCGUCUACUCUUGGACAGCCUUCUGAAAGGAAGAUUAAUACAAGAUGGCAUCAUGAGUCCACAUGUUCACAUGAUUAAAGGUAUUCCGGUAGACGAUGGGGAUGCGUUCCAUUAGAUAGUAGGCGGGGUAACGGCCCACCUAGUCUUCGAUGGAUAGGGGUUCUGAGAGGAAGGUCCCCCACAUUGGAACUGAGACACGGUCCAAACUCCUACGGGAGGCAGCAGUGAGGAAUAUUGGUCAAUGGGCGAGAGCCUGAACCAGCCAAGUAGCGUGAAGGAUGACUGCCCUAUGGGUUGUAAACUUCUUUUAUAAAGGAAUAAAGUCGGGUACGGAUACCCGUUUGCAUGUACUUUAUGAAUAAGGAUCGGCUAACUCCGUGCCAGCAGCCGCGGUAAUACGGAGGAUCCGAGCGUUAUCCGGAUUUAUUGGGUUUAAAGGGAGCGUAGAUGGAUGUUUAAGUCAGUUGUGAAAGUUUGCGGCUCAACCGUAAAAUUGCAGUUGAUACUGGAUAUCUUGAGUGCAGUUGAGGCAGGCGGAAUUCGUGGUGUAGCGGUGAAAUGCUUAGAUAUCACGAAGAACUCCGAUUGCGAAGGCAGCCUGCUAAGCUGCAACUGACAUUGAGGCUCGAAAGUGUGGGUAUCAAACAGGAUUAGAUACCCUGGUAGUCCACACGGUAAACGAUGAAUACUCGCUGUUUGCGAUAUACAGCAAGCGGCCAAGCGAAAGCGUUAAGUAUUCCACCUGGGGAGUACGCCGGCAACGGUGAAACUCAAAGGAAUUGACGGGGGCCCGCACAAGCGGAGGAACAUGUGGUUUAAUUCGAUGAUACGCGAGGAACCUUACCCGGGCUUAAAUUGCAGAUGAAUUACGGUGAAAGCCGUAAGCCGCAAGGCAUCUGUGAAGGUGCUGCAUGGUUGUCGUCAGCUCGUGCCGUGAGGUGUCGGCUUAAGUGCCAUAACGAGCGCAACCCUUGUUGUCAGUUACUAACAGGUUCCGCUGAGGACUCUGACAAGACUGCCAUCGUAAGAUGUGGGGAAGGUGGGGAUGACGUCAAAUCAGCACGGCCCUUACGUCCGGGGCUACACACGUGUUACAAUGGGGGGUACAGAGGGCCGCUACCACGCGAGUGGAUGCCAAUCCCAAAAACCUCUCUCAGUUCGGACUGGAGUCUGCAACCCGACUCCACGAAGCUGGAUUCGCUAGUAAUCGCGCAUCAGCCACGGCGCGGUGAAUACGUUCCCGGGCCUUGUACACACCGCCCGUCAAGCCAUGGGAGCCGGGGGUACCUGAAGUGCGUAACCGCGAGGAGCGCCCUAGGGUAAAACUGGUG
This 1442-nucleotide ribosomal RNA is filed under the name uncultured organism. RNAcentral describes it as "16S ribosomal RNA". It matches the Rfam family "Bacterial small subunit ribosomal RNA". The record is from RNAcentral.